UGUUUCUCCCGUUCUAUCUCAUUCGCAAUUCCGGAGGCGCUUUGCGAAGCCCUGCUGGGAUUGCUCCACCACCAUCUCCACCAUGCCGUCAGGCUGGUUGAGAUCCCACCUACUUCUCCUUCCUCUCUUGAUGGAUCAAUAAGGAGGAGACAUCAUCGAGCCACACGUGCGCUACCGAAGGUGUCGUCCGUUUGGUGCUAGACUGGGAUGGAUCGCGAUUGGAUCGUGAAGACGUACGACUACAUCAACCGUGUUAUAUACGCUUACGCUUAGCGAUCUACGAGGGUAUGUAGAUGCACUCCCCCUUUCAUAGAUGUUGAUCUCCAUAGAUUGAUCUUGGUAAGCGUAGGAAUUUUUUUGUUUCCCAUUCUACGUUCCCCAACAGUGGCAUCAUGAGCAAGGUCCAU
RNAcentral lists this long non-coding RNA (407 nucleotides) under Hordeum vulgare. RNAcentral describes it as "long non-coding RNA (HVUL_LNC019763)". Lineage: Eukaryota; Viridiplantae; Streptophyta; Magnoliopsida; Poales; Poaceae. The record is from RNAcentral.